Molecule: ribosomal RNA, 483 nt
Filed under: uncultured bacterium
Lineage: Bacteria
Description: bacterial SSU rRNA
Rfam family: Bacterial small subunit ribosomal RNA
Source: RNAcentral
AGUUUGAUCAGUGGCUACGAGGACGAACGCUGGCGGCGUGCUUAACACAUGCAAGUCGAACGGUAAGGCCCUUCGGGGUACACGAGUGGCGAACGGGUGAGUAACACGUGGGUGAUCUGCCCUGCACUUCGGGAUAAGCCUGGGAAACUGGGUCUAAUACCGGAUAGGACCAUGGACUUCACGGUUUGUGGUGGAAAGCUUUUGCGGUGUGGGAUGGGCCCGCGGCCUAUCAGCUUGUUGGUGGGGUAAUGGCCUACCAAGGCGACGACGGGUAGCCGGCCUGAGAGGGUGUCCGGCCACACUGGGACUGAGAUACGGCCCAGACUCCUACGGGAGGCAGCAGUGGGGAAUAUUGCACAAUGGGCGCAAGCCUGAUGCAGCGACGCCGCGUGAGGGAUGACGGCCUUCGGGUUGUAAACCUCUUUCAAUAGGGACGAAGCGCAAGUGACGGUACCUAUAGAAGAAGCACCGGCCAACUACGUG